GACGAACGCUGGCGGCGUGCUUAACACAUGCAAGUCGAACGGGUCUGCCCUGUUUUUUGCGGGGUGGGUCAGUGGCGAACGGGUGAGUAACACGUGAGUAACCUGCCCCUCACUUCUGGAUAACCGCUUGAAAGGGUGGCUAAUACGGGGUGUUCUGGCUGUGCCGCAUGGUGUGGCUGGGAAAGAUUCACUUUUGUGGUGUUUUGGUGGGGGAUGGGCUCGCGGCCUAUCAGCUUGUUGGUGGGGUGAUGGCCUGCCAAGGCUUUGACGGGUAGCCGGCCUGAGAGGGUGGGCGGUCACACGGGGACUGGGAUACGGCCCAGACUCCUGCGGGAGGCAGCAGUGGGGGGUAUUGCACAAUGGGCGGAAGCCUGAUGCAGCGACGUCGCGUGAGGGAUGGAGGCCUUCGGGUUGUGAACCUCUUUCGCCGGUGAAGAAGGUCCUGCUCUUUGUGGUGGGGUUGACGGUAGCCGGGUUAUGAAGCGCCGGCUAACUACGUG
This 500-nucleotide ribosomal RNA is filed under the name uncultured bacterium. RNAcentral describes it as "partial 16S ribosomal RNA". It matches the Rfam family "Bacterial small subunit ribosomal RNA", at positions 28 to 507 of the family's 1533-position model. The record is from RNAcentral.